This 378-nucleotide ribosomal RNA is filed under the name uncultured eukaryote. Its description in RNAcentral is "partial 18S ribosomal RNA". It matches the Rfam family "Eukaryotic small subunit ribosomal RNA", at positions 592 to 975 of the family's 1831-position model. The record is from RNAcentral.
CAAUAGCGUAUAUUUAAGUUGUUGCAGUUAAAAAGCUCGUAGUUGGAUUUCGGAUGGGAUUUGCCGGUCCGUCGUUACGAUGUGCACUGGCCAGUCCUAUCUUGUUGUCGGGGACUAGCUCCUUGGAUUCACUUCCUGGGACUAGGAGCUGACGAGGUUACUUUGAGUAAAUUAGAGUGUUCAAAGCAAGCCUACGCUCUGAAUACAUUAGCAUGGAAUAACACGAUAGGACUCUGGCUUAUCUUGUUGGUCUGUGAGACCAGAGUAAUGAUUAAGAGGGACAGUCGGGGACAUUCGUAUUUCAUUGUCAGAGGUGAGAUUCUUGGAUUUAUGAAAGACGAACUUCUGCGAAAGCAUUUGUCAAGGAUGUUUNCAUUA